GGGGCGAACCUGGCGGCGAGUGGCGAACGGGUGAGUAACAUAUCGGAACAUACCUAGAGUGGGGGAGUAACGUAGCGAAGUUACGCUAAUACGCAUACGCACUAAGGUGGAAAGUGGGGGAUUCGCAAGAACCUCAUGCUCAUGGAGUGGCCGAUAUCUGAUUAGCUAGUUGGUGAGGUAAAGGCUCACCAAGGCGACGAUCCUUAGCUGGUCUGAGAGGAUGAUCAGCCACACUGGAACUGAGACACGGUCCAGACUCCUACGGGAGGCAGCAGUGGGGAAUAUUGGACAAUGGGCGCAAGCCUGAUCCAGCCAUGCCGCGUGUGUGAAGAAGGCCUUCGGGUUGUAAAGCACUUUCAGCGAGGAGGAAGGGAGUUGUGUUAAUAGCACAGCUUUUUGACGUUACUCGCAGAAGAAGCACCGGCUAACUCUGUG
This 435-nucleotide ribosomal RNA is filed under the name uncultured bacterium. RNAcentral's name for it is "bacterial SSU rRNA". It matches the Rfam family "Bacterial small subunit ribosomal RNA", at positions 76 to 507 of the family's 1533-position model. The record is from RNAcentral.